GGUCCUAUCGUCUAGUGGUUAGGACGGCAGGUUCUCAUCCUGUAAACAUCGGUUCGAUUCCGAUUAGGAUCACAA
This 75-nucleotide transfer RNA is filed under the name Candidatus Roizmanbacteria bacterium CG_4_9_14_3_um_filter_33_18. RNAcentral's name for it is "tRNA-Glu". It matches the Rfam family "tRNA". Rfam says of the family: Transfer RNA (tRNA) molecules are approximately 80 nucleotides in length. Their secondary structure includes four short double-helical elements and three loops (D, anti-codon, and T loops). Lineage: Bacteria; Candidatus Roizmaniibacteriota. The record is from RNAcentral.